UACGUAGGGUGCGAGCGUUAAUCGGAAUUACUGGGCGUAAAGGGCUCGUAGGCGGCCAACUAAGUCAGACGUGAAAUCCCUCAGCUUAACUGGGGAACUGCGUCUGAUACUGGAUGGCUUGGAUCCGGGAGAGGGAUGCGGAAUUCCAGGUGUAGCGGUGAAAUGCGUAGAUAUCUGGAGGAACACCGGUGGCGAAGGCGGCAUCCUGGACCGGUAUUGACGCUGAGGAGCGAAAGCCAGGGGAGCAAACGGG
RNAcentral lists this ribosomal RNA (253 nucleotides) under uncultured bacterium. RNAcentral's name for it is "partial 16S ribosomal RNA". It matches the Rfam family "Bacterial small subunit ribosomal RNA", at positions 524 to 776 of the family's 1533-position model. The record is from RNAcentral.